GACGAACGCUGGCGGCGUGCUUACACAUGCAAGUUGAACGAGAAUUUUUCGAGUGAUUUCUUCGGAAUGAUCAUGAAAAAGGAAAGUAGCGAACGGGUGAGUAACACGUGAGAAACCUGCCUUUCACAAAGGGAUAGCCUCGGGAAACCGGGAUUAAUACCUUAUGAAACCAAACACUCGCAUGAGAGAUUGGUUAAAGAUUUAUCGGUGUUAGAUGGUCUCGCGUCUGAUUAGCUAGUUGGUGGGAUAAAAGCCUACCAAGGCAACGAUCAGUAGCCGGAUUGAGAGGUUGAACGGCCACACUGGAACUGAGACACGGUCCAGACUCCUACGGGAGGCAGCAGUGGGGAAUUUUGCACAAUGGAGGAAACUCUGAUGCAGCGACGCCGCGUGAGUGAUGAAGGUCUUCGGAUUGUAAAACUCUGUCCUUAGUGAAGAUAAUGACAGUAACUAAGAAGCAAGCCCUGGCUAAAUACGUG
Molecule: ribosomal RNA, 479 nt
Filed under: uncultured bacterium
Lineage: Bacteria
Description: partial 16S ribosomal RNA
Rfam family: Bacterial small subunit ribosomal RNA
Source: RNAcentral